UACGUAGGGUGCGAGCGUUGUCCGGAAUUACUGGGCGUAAAGCGUGCGUAGGCGGUUCGUUAAGUUCGUUGUGAAAGCCCCGGGCUCAACCUGGGAAUGGCAAUGGAAACUGGCGGGCUGGAGUAUGGCAGAGGGGGGUGGAAUUCCGCGUGUAGCAGUGAAAUGCGUAGAGAUGCGGAGGAACACCGAUGGCGAAGGCAGCCCCCUGGGCCAAUACUGACGCUCAGGCACGAAAGCGUGGGGAGCAAACAGG
Molecule: ribosomal RNA, 253 nt
Filed under: uncultured bacterium
Lineage: Bacteria
Description: partial 16S ribosomal RNA
Rfam family: Bacterial small subunit ribosomal RNA
Source: RNAcentral